UGAUGUGAAAGCCCCUGGCUCAACCAGGGAGGGUCAUUGGAAACUGGAGAAUUUGAGUGCAGAAGAGGAAAGUGGAAUUCCAUGUGUAGCGGUGAAAUGCGUAGAUAUAUGGAGGAACACCAGUGGCGAAGGCGACUUUCUGGUCUGUAACUGACGCUGAGGCUCGAAAGCAUGGGGAGCAAACAGGAUUAGAUACCCUGGUAGUCCAUGCCGUAAACGAUGAGUGCUAAGUGUUGGAGGGUUUCCGCCCUUCAGUGCUGCAGCUAACGCAUUAAGCACUCCGCCUGGGGAGUACGACCGCAAGGUUGAAACUCAAAGGAAUUGACGGGGGCCCGCACAAGCGGUGGAGCAUGUGGUUUAAUUCGAAGCAACGCGAAGAACCUUACCAGGUCUUGACAUCCUUUGACCACUCUAGAGAUAGAGCUUUCCCUUCGGGGACAAAGUGACAGGUGGUGCAUGGUUGUCGUCAGCUCGUGUCGUGAGAUGUUGGGUUAAGUCCCGCAACGAGCGCAACCCUUAUUAUUAGUUGCCAGCAUUCAGUUGGGCACUCUAGUGAGACUGCCGGUGAUAAACCGGAGGAAGGUGGGGAUGACGUCAAAUCAUCAUGCCCCUUAUGACCUGGGCUACACACGUGCUACAAUGGAUGGUACAACGAGUCGCAAAACCGCGAGGUUAAGCUAAUCUCUUAAAGCCAUUCUCAGUUCGGAUUGUAGGCUGCAAU
RNAcentral lists this ribosomal RNA (721 nucleotides) under uncultured bacterium. RNAcentral's name for it is "bacterial SSU rRNA". It matches the Rfam family "Bacterial small subunit ribosomal RNA", at positions 590 to 1311 of the family's 1533-position model. The record is from RNAcentral.